This 253-nucleotide ribosomal RNA is filed under the name uncultured bacterium. Its description in RNAcentral is "partial 16S ribosomal RNA". It matches the Rfam family "Bacterial small subunit ribosomal RNA", at positions 524 to 776 of the family's 1533-position model. The record is from RNAcentral.
UACGUAGGGUGCGAGCGUUAAUCGGAAUUACUGGGCGUAAAGCGUGCGCAGGCGGUUCGCUGUGUCCGAUGUGAAAGCCCCGGGCUUAACCUGGGAAUGGCAUUGGAAACUGGCGGGCUUGAGUGCGGCAGAGGGGGGUGGAAUUCCGCGUGUAGCAGUGAAAUGCGUAGAUAUGCGGAGGAACACCGAUGGCGAAGGCAGUCCCCUGGGCCUGUACUGACGCUCAUGCACGAAAGCGUGGGGAGCAAACAGG